GACAUCUGAGCUCAAACUGAGUCUUUCACUGUUUCAUCUCCAGUGUUUGGCAUACUCAGACAAACACACGGGUUGAGGGGACACUGGUUAGAAAAGACCACUCGUAGUGGAUUAAAUACAUUUCCACUGUAGCUGCCAGAUGUUUACAAUAUUUGUUCUACUUUUCAUACCCAGCUAAAGAUCGCAAGCAUCCCUUCUGGUCAACAGUGUGUUGCAGAGCCUAUUGCCCAUGACGUGGAGCACCAUGUGAUCUCUACAGACUCAUUCACAGACAGAGAAUUAAGAGCAGAGUGUCAGUCAUCUAGACCUACAGCAGACAACUCUGAGCACGAGGUGCAUUCUGUUGGAGGUCAGCGUGGCACUUCUUCUCUGAAAGAGUUAAUUGGUGAAGUUGGUGUCCAGUAUCAGGAGUUGUCACCCCAAGCGUUCUCAGAAGAACUUACCAGUGAGAGCAAAUCGAAAGAGGUGCCACAAUCAUCCAGAGCUGUGCCUAACGACUCUGCUUGUGAGUGUACAAUUCAUAGGCUGGUAUUUGAAUCGGUGAAACUUGACAAAUGCGGGAUAUGCCAUUCACCUUUGACAGCUAUCAGAUGGCAUGGUCUAAG
This 605-nucleotide long non-coding RNA is filed under the name Oreochromis niloticus (Nile tilapia). Its description in RNAcentral is "lncRNA (ENSONIG00000032892.1)". Lineage: Eukaryota; Metazoa; Chordata; Actinopteri; Cichliformes; Cichlidae. The record is from RNAcentral.